GACGAACGCUGGCGGCGUGCUUAACACAUGCAAGUCGAACGCUGAACCCGCUUCGGUGGGGGAUGAGUGGCGAACGGGUGAGUAGCACGUGGGCAACCUGCCCCCGGCUCUGGGAUAACUCCAAGAAAAUGGGGCUAAUACCGGAUGUGACCGCUGGCCGCAUGGUCUGGUGGUGGAAAGGGUUUCCGGCUGGGGAUGGGCCCGCGGCCUAUCAGCUGGUUGGGGGGGGAGUGGCCUACCAAGGCGACGACGGGUAGCCGGCCGGAGGGGGGGACCGGCCACCCUGGGCCUGAGACACGGCCCAGACUCCUACGGGAGGCAGCAGUGGGGAAUAUUGCGCAAUGGGCGGAAGCCUGACGCAGCGACGCCGCGUGGGUGAUGACGGCCUUCGGGUUGUAAACCUCUUUCAGCAGGGACGAAGCGCAAGUGACGGUACCUGCAGAAGAAGCACCGGCCAACUACGUG
RNAcentral lists this ribosomal RNA (465 nucleotides) under uncultured bacterium. RNAcentral describes it as "partial 16S ribosomal RNA". It matches the Rfam family "Bacterial small subunit ribosomal RNA", at positions 28 to 507 of the family's 1533-position model. The record is from RNAcentral.